GGGGACGUAGCUCAGUUGGCAGAGCGCUGCCUUUGCAAGGCAGAAGUCGUGGGUUCGAUUCCCAUCGUCUCCACCG
This 76-nucleotide transfer RNA is filed under the name uncultured Acidimicrobiales bacterium. RNAcentral describes it as "tRNA-Ala-TGC". It matches the Rfam family "tRNA". Rfam says of the family: Transfer RNA (tRNA) molecules are approximately 80 nucleotides in length. Their secondary structure includes four short double-helical elements and three loops (D, anti-codon, and T loops). Further hydrogen bonds mediate the characteristic L-shaped molecular structure. tRNAs have two regions of fundamental functional importance: the anti-codon, which is responsible for specific mRNA codon recognition, and the 3' end, to which the tRNAs corresponding amino acid is attached (by aminoacyl-tRNA synthetases). tRNAs cope with the degeneracy of the genetic code in two manners: having more than one tRNA (with a specific anti-codon) for a particular amino acid; and 'wobble' base-pairing, i.e. permitting non-standard base-pairing at the 3rd anti-codon position. Lineage: Bacteria; Bacillati; Actinomycetota; Acidimicrobiia; Acidimicrobiales. The record is from RNAcentral.